RNAcentral lists this ribosomal RNA (253 nucleotides) under uncultured Eubacteriales bacterium. Its description in RNAcentral is "uncultured Clostridiales bacterium partial 16S ribosomal RNA". It matches the Rfam family "Bacterial small subunit ribosomal RNA", at positions 524 to 776 of the family's 1533-position model. Lineage: Bacteria; Bacillati; Bacillota; Clostridia; Eubacteriales. The record is from RNAcentral.
UACGUAGGAGGCAAGCGUUAUCCGGAAUGACUGGGCGUAAAGGGUGCGUAGGUGGUUUGACAAGUUAGUAGCGCAACUCCGGAGCUCAACUUCGGAACUACUACUAAAACUGGGAGACUUGAGUGCAGAAGAGGAGAGUGGAACUCCAUGUGUAGCGGUGAAAUGCGUAGAUAUAUGGAAGAACACCAGUGGCGAAAGCGGCUCUCUGGUCUGUAACUGACGCUGAGGUUCGAAAGCGUGGGGAGCAAACAGG